UCUUGAAGCUGAGCCUCCUCAGGGGCCCACAGACUGGCUCUGAUGAAAGGUUCAUUUUCCUUUCUUUGUGCAGGUGACAAAUUCUACCGCCAGUAAUCACUUGUGAAAAAUCAACAGUGAAGCCCAGCGGCUCCCGGUCCCCCGGAGAAAUCUGAGUGGAUUUCUGGAAGAACAAGACUUCGGCUUCAGAAAAAUGUGGUUUCAAAGCUGCAGUCCCGGCCUUCCUCAGCUGUGUGACCUUGGUUAUGUCCACGUGCCCAUUGCCUCGCCUGGGCCUCACUUUUCUCAUCUGUAUCAUGGAGUUGGCACCACCGGCUCUGCCCUCAAGGUUUGCCGCGCCUGCAGAGGCCCCUGAGCAUUCAGCAGGUGCUCACUCAGCAGGAGCUGCCAGACACUGAAUGUGUGAUGGGAAUCAUUGGAUGCUGCCGCCUCUCCGCCCACCCGCCACCUGACACUGCCUCCUGGCUCUCCAUCACUGCCCAGGAGUCGGGCAGCCUCCCCGCUCCCUGCUAUUUCUUCUCUGCACCUGACGCCGCCUCCUGGCUCUCCAUCACUGCCCAGGAGUCGGGCAGCCUCCCCGCUCCCUGCUAUUUCUUCUCUGGAGCUUCCCAGGAGGUUAAUAGCAGCUUCUCACCAGGAUAUUUGGCUUUUUAAGGAAUCUUGUUGCCUCUUUCUUCUCUGUGAGGAUAUUCUCAGGAUGGUUGUGGUGGAGAAGGGAAGGAAGGAGACUCUCGAGGCAUUUGCCAACUAAGGGGGGCACUUAGGGGUAGGUGGGGGGGGCAGUUCCGGGCAGAACUUGGGGCAGACAGUGCCCUGUUUCCAGAACAGCUCCCAGUGCUGGGCUGGGCUGGGCUUAAAUGCAGUGGGAGAAGCUCAAGGGUGGGGUGGGGUCACAGGCUCCACUUGGAAUGGGCCAGGUCAUUUGACUAUGGGGGCAUUUCUGAGCCUGGUGGGGCCUCAGUCUCCCCUCCCGGAAGAUGGGCCUGAUGAUCCAUGCCAGCCUGUAAAGGAAGGGAAAGAGUUUUGCUGAGCUGCAGAAGGAGGUGCAGACAAGGCGAGGGGCUGGGUGUUGGGGGAGGCCAGCUGAGCGCCCAGGACCCCUCUGGCCCCACCCCAGGUCCUUGGGCUCCACCUGCUCUCAGCCCUGCCCUGAGCUCAGGAAUGGUCCCAGGCCUGAGAAGGAGGUCAAAACUCUGCAGCCCUUCCACUACUACUUCGGGGGGCUCAGCACAGCUCCUCUGGGCUCAGGUCCCCAGGCCUUUCCCUGAUGUAACCCCCCAAUCAGGCCCGCCCAGUAGGGGAGGUCCACCUCUUAUGUGUGUGUUUUAAAUUGCAGUAAAAUGUACGUAACAUGAAAUUUACCAUUUUAUCUCUGUAAGCAUACAGGUCCGUGGCAUUCGGUACAUUCACAUUCCUGUGUGGCCAUGACCACCAUCCAUUUCCGGGGCUUCUGCAUGAUCCCGAACAGAAGCUUGCAUGCCCUGCGCCACGCCCCCUCCCAUGUCAACCCCCGUAACCGCUGGUCUUCGUCUCUAUGAAUUAAACUAUUCCAGGUACCUCCCAUCAGUGGAAUCAUAAAAUAUAUGUUCUUUUGC
This 1595-nucleotide long non-coding RNA is filed under the name Pan troglodytes (chimpanzee). RNAcentral's name for it is "long non-coding RNA NONPTRT009783". Lineage: Eukaryota; Metazoa; Chordata; Mammalia; Primates; Hominidae. The record is from RNAcentral.